UGAAAUGUUUAAAUGUUUUAAAUGUAUUACAUUAAAAUCAGUCAAUAGAGUUUAAUAUGGUUCAUAGGGGAUUAAAUAAUUCUAUAGGUCGAACAACAAAUCUUGGUCAUUGGGUUAAUAAAGUUCAUUAAAAUUAUAAAUAUUUUUUUUACUGUACACAUUAGAGUAGCAUGGUUAGCUCACAACCUAAUCCCAGGGGUCGUCCAUCUUGACAUUUUGGUAAUUGCAAAGAUUGUUACCAACUACUUAGCGCAAUCGAAAAGAAAAAAGGGGCAUGAUGUAAAUUCGUCCCCGCAGAGUGAAGCCACGGGCUAGUGAGACGAGAAAACGGACGAGCCCUGUGACGGUUGUAAAAGCUGCCUGAGAGUAAUUAUGCCCAAUAAGAGUUUUACCAGUGGGUAGCGGACAUAUGGCAACAUGCAGAAGGUAAAUACUUCUGUGUGUGUAUUUUUGCACUGCUUCAUCAAUAUGUAGUGUGUUAAAGUGAGAUGCUAAUCGCAAUUAGUGCACUAGCAAUCUGAGCAACGUUUCAGAGUAGUUUCAGCUAAUGUUACUGUGUGUAACUAGCAUGUGUUAAUGUUUCCAGCUAGUUUAGAGCGCAAACGAACUUAGCAUGAUACGUAAAGGUGCUUUGGAAUGAGUAACGUGACUGAGAAAACUGUCAUGUACACUCAUUAGACAGAGAGGACAAGGAAACGCUCUUUGGACUAUAGAAGAGUAGAAGUCUCCCACUCAGCCAUCACUUCGUCUGGACUGUUGACGCCAGCCAGCUUGUAAUUCCACUCAUCAUUCCCAGGUCAUCACAACUGCUGCUCUCAGAUGUUUUGGGAAUGACGUUUUUACCACAAGAUCCUCAGGGGCAAUCAAGCAUUGUAACAAGGUUUAUGGGGAAGAACAGGCAACCAACAGAGAGACAAGUACAUCACUAUUGGCAAACUGAGAUGGGAAUAUACUCUUCUAAAGACAUGUCAACAUCAUCAUCAUCUUCAAUCAAUCCUUUAUUUAAUAAAAUGGAGAACAUUGAGGGAAAAUACACCCCUGACCCUUAGACAUGUCAUAACAGGGUAAACGCAGCUGUAGUUCAUAUAAUUAUUGGAUGGUUGGUUUGAUUUUGGUGUACAAACAGCUUUUUUUUUUCUUUUCUUUUGUAGCUACAACUGUGUUUAUCUUGCUAUGAUACAUCUGUGAAAAGUGUCCAUUGUUGUGAAUCUACUUUUCCUUCUCAAAGCUGGCCGUACUCUGUGUUCACAUUGCCAGAAUGUCUAAUGGCAAAUUUCAGUAGAGACAAUUUAAAUAGAGUUCGUUUAAGUUUGUUUAAAGCUUGUUUAAAGGAACGGUAAAAAUGAUAUUCUACU
Molecule: long non-coding RNA, 1355 nt
Organism: Xiphias gladius (swordfish)
Lineage: Eukaryota; Metazoa; Chordata; Actinopteri; Istiophoriformes; Xiphiidae
Exons: 4
Source: RefSeq, a predicted model, not a curated record